Long non-coding RNA from Thunnus maccoyii (southern bluefin tuna), 1114 nucleotides. RefSeq lists it as uncharacterized. Lineage: Eukaryota; Metazoa; Chordata; Actinopteri; Scombriformes; Scombridae. The record is from RefSeq and is a predicted model, not a curated record. The transcript has 4 exons.
CUCAAACAGAGACUUGAGUAGGAGGGAAGGAAGUAAAGAAGAAAGAUGAGGUGACAUAAAAGGAUCACGUCACAGGACAGAGAUGCAGCUCUGAGUUCAGUGGAUCGGUAAAUAACAUACACUUGGACAAGUUCACUCUGUCAGCCCAGCAUCCUUCAGAGGCGCUCUUGUGCGUCACUGUGAGAGUCUGGAAAGUAUUAAGGCCGGCAGUCACUGAUCUCCAACAACAAAGAGGUGGACCAACGAUAGAGGAUGUUGCAAGCAUCGCUAAAAUGUUGGCUAAAUUGCUUCCGGCAUUGAGCGAGGGAAAUAUUACACUGCUGUUUGCCUCCUAUCUUCUCCCCAAAGCCAAAAGAGGCUAAAGGACCUUCAAAUGAGCUCUUCAGUCUUUUAUGGCUCCGCGGAUUAAGACUCCCGGGACAAAUGAAGAGUACAUAUCUGUUGGCUGCAGGCCACAUGUGUCGACCAGCCGGAUCUGUUCUGCUUUUCAGCGGUUUUUUUUUUCUGUUGAGAAUAAGGACGGCUUUUGUCACAGCUGGGUGCUUUGCUUUCAUUUGUCAUACUUUGUGAUGAAAUACAAUGAAAAACACUGUGAAUAAACUGUAUUUAUUACAAGCUAUGGUUAAAUAUGUGCAGCAGUGGGAAGUAAAAAUUCAAGAAAGGCUAAUUUAUAAAAUAGUUUUUAGGGUCUUGCAACAUUUCAGCUUUGAAUCCACCUCCAGAAAUGUUUAGUUUAGUUUCUUUGUUUUGCUUUUUUAAAUUCAUACUGUGGUUACAUGAAGCUUUUAAGCAUGUUGCACUUGGCUCCACCUCAAGCAGUGAUGACCCAGCAUGUGUUUUCCAUCAGAAAUCCAAAGCAGAUAUAUACCUGCUGAUAUAAUACCUGCUCUGACAUUGGUUUAGUGCAACAGCACUUUUCUGGCUUUAUGAAUGAUUUCAAAGUGUUGAAUGUAAAAAGACUUCAAAUAAAAGUCACUGCAGGUGUUGAGAUGAGAUUUAUGCUGUUUUUACCUUUUCAAGGGAGAAAAAUAACCUUCUUUAAUUUCUUAGCUUUCACUGUAAUAAAUAUGUAAUCAAAUCCAAAAACUGCGCGUGUUUAAAAUUAAGAUUGAAC